CGGCUGUAAAAUAGUAAUGGCAUUAGUUAUAGACAUGUAGGUUUAUCAUGAAGGAGCCAGCUAAAAAAAAAGAGAAAGCCCAGGCAAGGAAAAUGAGAGAGCUGCAAUUGGGUUGAUUUCUAUCCUUCUGUGCAUGUUUGUGAUUGUACUAUGGUAAUCAUUGUUUGUAAAAGUCUUUAUUCUACUAUUUUUAUGAAUAGCUAGGUUAGAUAACUGCCUUUCCAUCACUUCUGAUGUGGCAAACCUGCUUCAUAAGUGAAGUUCAGUCCAGGUACAGAGCCUACCUGGUAUCAUUGGGUGCAAGGCAGGACUACUCCCUGGACAAGCUAAUUACCCAAUCCACUCAUUAGGACUCCCCCUAUCACUAGUGAUGGCCCAACACCAGAAGGGUAAAGACUAGCAUUGCGUCGUCCGAUACAUGUUAAGUCAGCCACCACCUCUUUUCAAACUGCUGCUGACCCUUUGGGGAGAGAGCAUCAUCUACCCACACAGAAAGAGCAAGGCCAAUGGUGUUGUAUUGGGGGUCCAGUAGCUGAUGGCAAGCUACAUAAACAGGAUUUGAACCGG
Molecule: long non-coding RNA, 567 nt
Filed under: Astyanax mexicanus (Mexican tetra)
Lineage: Eukaryota; Metazoa; Chordata; Actinopteri; Characiformes; Acestrorhamphidae
Description: lncRNA (ENSAMXG00005011959.1)
Source: RNAcentral